This 403-nucleotide ribosomal RNA is filed under the name Fusobacteriota bacterium. RNAcentral's name for it is "Fusobacteria bacterium partial 16S ribosomal RNA". It matches the Rfam family "Bacterial small subunit ribosomal RNA", at positions 355 to 776 of the family's 1533-position model. The record is from RNAcentral. Lineage: Bacteria; Fusobacteriati; Fusobacteriota.
UGGGGAAUCUUGCACAAUGGGGGAAACCCUGAUGCAGCGACGCCGCGUGAGCGAUGAAGGUUUUCGAAUCGUAAAGCUCUGUCCUAUGGGAAGAUAAUGACGGUACCAUGGGAGGAAGCCCCGGCUAACUACGUGCCAGCAGCCGCGGUAAUACGUAGGGGGCGAGCGUUGUCCGGAAUUACAGGGCGUAAAGGGUUCGCAGGCGGCAUGGCAAGUCCGAUGUAAAAGGCGAAGGCUCAACCUUCGUAAGCAUCGGAAACUGUCAAGCUUGAGUGAAGGAGAGGCAAGUGGAAUUCCUAGUGUAGCGGUGGAAUGCGUAGAUAUUAGGAGGAAUACCGGUGGCGAAGGCGACUUGCUGGACUUCAACUGACGCUGAGGAACGAAAGCGUGGGUAGCAAACAGG